This 73-nucleotide transfer RNA is filed under the name Ixodes scapularis (black-legged tick). Its description in RNAcentral is "tRNA-Ser for anticodon GGA". The stretch from base 8 to 65 matches the Rfam family "tRNA", at positions 8 to 63 of the family's 71-position model. From Rfam's summary of the family: Transfer RNA (tRNA) molecules are approximately 80 nucleotides in length. Their secondary structure includes four short double-helical elements and three loops (D, anti-codon, and T loops). The record is from RNAcentral. Lineage: Eukaryota; Metazoa; Arthropoda; Arachnida; Ixodida; Ixodidae.
UUCUGGUUAGCUUGGUCGGUAAAGCACUUCACUGGAAAUGGAGGGGUCCCUGGUUCGAUCCCAGGUCAAGGCA